Populus trichocarpa (black cottonwood) is the source of this 134-nucleotide non-coding RNA. The record is from Rfam. Lineage: Eukaryota; Viridiplantae; Streptophyta; Magnoliopsida; Malpighiales; Salicaceae.
AGAAAGCACCAGGGGUGCCUGUGCCCUGCUUUAACACUGGCCAUCUGGCUAGAGGAGGCAGCUGCCAGGCUGAGAAAGUCCCUUUGAACCUGAACAGGAUAAUGCCUGCGUAGGGAGUGUGCAUUUUCUUUUCC